This is a long non-coding RNA of Aphis gossypii (cotton aphid), 2249 nucleotides long. RefSeq lists it as uncharacterized. Lineage: Eukaryota; Metazoa; Arthropoda; Insecta; Hemiptera; Aphididae. The record is from RefSeq and is a predicted model, not a curated record. The transcript has 2 exons.
UCGUCGGGUCUCGUCCGCCGUAGUCGUGUGAAUUCCUGCGAUCACAUUUUGUAGCUAUUUAUUAUCAUACUCGGAAGCGCCUCGUGCUCGCUAGAAACGACUUAACUCGGUUUACGGCGUUUGCCCGAUUUUUACCCGACCGUAAUCGAUACGCGUGUAGUAAGUUAUUGUCGAACGACGUCGUUAUCGUGUAAAGUGUAAACGGCGUUUUCCUCAAUACCGUGUUCAGUCGAUGUUACAACUCUUCUUAGAGUUAGUCAGAGUCAGUAAAUUCUCGUAAUCGUCAUCAUAAUCAGAUGGAAAUCUAAUCGGCGAUUUGUAUUGGACUUUGGUCGAAAAACCGAGCGGAAUCAUAAAUAAGUAACAGCAGAUCGGAGGAUACCACUGCAGCAAUCAAAUGGAAAAAAAAUCACAAUGUGUGGACAGGGCGGGCUACGAAGGUUUCGAGCUGUUGGGGUUCAAAUUCGAAGUGGAAGACACGGCGUUUUCGAUGGUCGCCACCGUCUUGUUCAUGGUGCUCUUUUACUUCGGGCUGUACAUCAGACAAUGCGACGAGCUUGGCGUGGAGAGAUUUAACAGUUGAUACUCAGCAGUCUACACCUCGCAACAUUCAGCCAAGUAGCGAUGGUGUAGGAGUGGUUGAUAAGGGGGGGGGGAAGUCAUUAGGUUAGGUUUUACACUACAAUAGUGGUACCGGAGCAUUAUAUUUUGGUGUACCCGAACACUGUAUUGUACACAUGUAGAUAUCUAGUAUAAUAUGUGCGGUUUGUGUACGUUACGUUUAAUUUUUUUUUUAAAUUAUAAAAAUAAAAUAAAAAAAUCUUUGCACAGUCCACGGAAGUGGAAGCUGACAUCCAGAUAAUAAUAAUAACAUUUUGGUGUUGGUAAAAGGCGUGGGCUUAACAAAAACUUUUAAAAUGGUAAAAAAAAUAUUGAUAUUAUUAUUUGAUUUUUAAGUCGAUACCCGGAUGACUGAACAUUUUGUAGCGGAGCUGUCAAUGUUUUAAACGUUUUUAUGAUAUAAAUCGCGACGAUCGUGAUCACGAUUUAUGUAUCUCUUCGAGUACGUAUAUAUAUCGUUCAGCGUUCUCAAUAAAAUUUUUGUAAGUCUCCGUGGCGGGGCGAGAUGGGAACGCACAUGAAUUCUCUACAGUAUCAUACGUAUUAAUACAUUUAUGUUUAAUAGGUGAUAUAAAUCGCAUUGUUGUGUUUUCUACACACAUUACCAUCGUGUAUUUUGUGAAACUGCAAUGGGCAUAAUAUAAUAAUUACUAUAUAAGAAUUAAAAACAAAUUUUUCAGUUUGUGGGUUGGAUUCGCAUAUAUACAAUAAUUAAACAAAACCGUUGUUAUUGCAUUAAUAGUUGCACAGUGGAAAACACACUUCCGCGUACACAUAUCCGAUACGAAUGUAAAACAGUUAAUAUUAAAACCUUACCGAUACUAAACCUGUAUAAUACUGUUAACCAGGAUUACAAAACAUAUACCUAAUUGUUAUGUCUUAUAUUAUGUUUAAUGUUUAUAUAUAUAUUUUUUAUGUACCUACUCAUAAUAAUAUAAGUAUUAUAAAAAUAUUUUACUAUAAUGUCUGUAAAAAAAAAAAAAUAAUUUUCAAAAUCCAAUACGUUCCCGUGUAUUGUAUACGUGUACCUUAACUAUUAUAUAUUGUUGACAGUAUUCAUUUAAUAUUAUUAUGCAUUUUUUUAUAAUAUAUAUAUUGUAUAUAUAUAUAUUUCUGCAUUGUAUAGUUUCAGUAUUAUUUAUUAUUUUUUGAUCCCUUGCUGCAGGAUAACAUUGCAAGACUGCAAACCUAAAUGGCGGAAUACUUUAACGACGACGAAUAAUAAUAUAAUAUUUUACCUACGUAUACGCAAUACAGGUAUAGUUGCAUUGAAUGGUAUAAUUAAAAGGAAAUCAUAUUAAUGAUAUUCUUCUCUGGACGCACAUAAUAAUAUGUAAUAUAUAAAUACAUGUGUAUAAAUAUUAUUAUGAAAAUAUAUCUUUGAUAUUUAUUAUAUAUAUUUAGUCUCCUGUUUAAUGUAUUUUGUGUGUACAAUAUGUUAUUUUGUUUCAUCCAUAGAACUAUAGAAUAUAAUGUAUGUGUAUUAUUAUUAAUUAUAAAGAUAUGUUUGUAAAUUUCCAUUUGCGUAACAUACAUAUUGGUUGAUAUAUACCUCAUAUUAUGUGAACGUUUAAUUUACAUUUCUAUAUCUAAUUACUUGUAUAAUAAUAGUAUAUACUAUACCUAAA